GAUGAACGCUAGCUACAGGCUUAACACAUGCAAGUCGAGGGGAAACGACAUCGAAAGCUUGCUUUUGAUGGGCGUCGACCGGCGCACGGGUGAGUAACGCGUAUCCAACCUGCCCACCACUUGGGGAUAACCUUGCGAAAGUAAGACUAAUACCCAAUGAUAUCUCUAGAAGACAUCUGAAAGAGAUUAAAGAUUUAUCGGUGAUGGAUGGGGAUGCGUCUGAUUAGCUUGUUGGCGGGGUAACGGCCCACCAAGGCUACGAUAAGUAGGGGUUCUGAGUGAAAGGUCCCCUGCAUUGGAACGGAGACACGGUUGAAUCUCCUACGGGAGGCAGCAGUGAGUAAUAUUGGUCAAUGGGCGAGAGCCUGAGCCAGCCAAGUAGCGUGCAGGAUGACGGCCCUAUGGGUUUUAAACUGCUUUUAUAAGGGAAUAAAGUGAGCCUCGUGAGGCUUUUUGCAUGUACCUUAUGAAUAAGGACCGGCUAAUUCCGUGCCAGCAGCCGCCGUAA
Molecule: ribosomal RNA, 508 nt
Filed under: uncultured bacterium
Lineage: Bacteria
Description: partial 16S ribosomal RNA
Rfam family: Bacterial small subunit ribosomal RNA
Source: RNAcentral